UCCCCGAUAGCUCAGUUGGUAGAGCGGCAGACUGUUAAUCUGUAGGUCCCUGGUUCGAGCCCAGGUCGGGGAGCCA
This 76-nucleotide transfer RNA is filed under the name Planctomycetota bacterium. Its description in RNAcentral is "tRNA-Asn". It matches the Rfam family "tRNA". Rfam says of the family: Transfer RNA (tRNA) molecules are approximately 80 nucleotides in length. Their secondary structure includes four short double-helical elements and three loops (D, anti-codon, and T loops). The record is from RNAcentral. RNAcentral also lists the same sequence under 1 other name. Lineage: Bacteria; Pseudomonadati; Planctomycetota.